This 1017-nucleotide ribosomal RNA is filed under the name uncultured organism. RNAcentral describes it as "bacterial SSU rRNA". It matches the Rfam family "Bacterial small subunit ribosomal RNA", at positions 355 to 1375 of the family's 1533-position model. The record is from RNAcentral.
UGAGGAAUAUUGGUCAAUGGACGAGAGUCUGAACCAGCCAAGCAGCGUGAAGGAUGACUGCCCUAUGGGUUGUAAACUUCUUUUAUACGGGAAUAAAGUUAGCCACGUGUGGCUUUUUGUAUGUACCGUAUGAAUAAGGAUCGGCUAACUCCGUGCCAGCAGCCGCGGUAAUACGGAGGAUCCGAGCGUUAUCCGGAUUUAUUGGGUUUAAAGGGAGCGUAGGCGGGUUGUUAAGUCAGUUGUGAAAGUUUGCGGCUCAACCGUAAAAUUGCAGUUGAUACUGGGUGUCUUGAGUACAGUAGAGGCAGGCGGAAUUCGUGGUGUAGCGGUGAAAUGCUUAGAUAUCACGAAGAACUCCGAUUGCGAAGGCAGCUUGCUGGACUGUAACUGACGCUGAUGCUCGAAAGUGUGGGUAUCAAACAGGAUUAGAUACCCUGGUAGUCCACACAGUAAACGAUGAAUACUCGCUGUUUGCGAUAUACAGUAAGCGGCCAAGCGAAAGCGUUAAGUAUUCCACCUGGGGAGUACGCCGGCAACGGUGAAACUCAAAGGAAUUGACGGGGGCCCGCACAAGCGGAGGAACAUGUGGUUUAAUUCGAUGAUACGCGAGGAACCUUACCCGGGCUUGAAUUGCAACUGAAUGAUGUGGAGACAUGUCAGCCGCAAGGCAGUUGUGAAGGUGCUGCAUGGUUGUCGUCAGCUCGUGCCGUGAGGUGUCGGCUUAAGUGCCAUAACGAGCGCAACCCUUAUCGAUAGUUACCAUCAGGUUAUGCUGGGGACUCUGUCGAGACUGCCGUCGUAAGAUGUGAGGAAGGUGGGGAUGACGUCAAAUCAGCACGGCCCUUACGUCCGGGGCUACACACGUGUUACAAUGGGGGGUACAGAAGGCAGCUACACGGCGACGUGAUGCUAAUCCCGAAAGCCUCUCUCAGUUCGGAUUGGAGUCUGCAACCCGACUCCAUGAAGCUGGAUUCGCUAGUAAUCGCGCAUCAGCCACGGCGCGGUGAAUACGUUCCC